Molecule: transfer RNA, 78 nt
Filed under: Candidatus Bathyarchaeota archaeon
Lineage: Archaea; Thermoproteati; Candidatus Bathyarchaeota
Description: tRNA-Ala
Rfam family: tRNA
About the family: Transfer RNA (tRNA) molecules are approximately 80 nucleotides in length. Their secondary structure includes four short double-helical elements and three loops (D, anti-codon, and T loops).
Source: RNAcentral
GGGCGGGUAGAUCAGCUUGGAAUGAUCGCGACGUUGGCAUCGUCGAGGUCCGGGGUUCAAAUCCCCGCCCGUCCACCA